This 22-nucleotide non-coding RNA is filed under the name Rattus norvegicus (Norway rat). The record is from RNAcentral. Lineage: Eukaryota; Metazoa; Chordata; Mammalia; Rodentia; Muridae.
UGGUAACGGUGUGCAUGACACA